GCUACAAGCCAGGCUAUCGCUUUGCUGCCAUAGGCGGGAAGGAGGAAAGUCCGGACAGUAUAGAGCAAUGCACCGGUGAAUAGCCGGGCUCCGGGAAACCGGUGACAGAAAGUGCCACAGAAAAUAACCUCACCCCUCAACUCAUAUUAAUAAUAUAUGGGCUGAGGGGUGAAAGGGUGAAAAUGUGAGGUAAGAGCUCACGGCUUUUGAUGGUAACAUCAAUUGCGGGUAAACCUUGCAUGCUGAAAUGCCACGUAUAGGAUCGUUUUGAGAACUGCUCGUUCAAGAUCCAGGGUAGGCAGAUUGAUCCUGCAGAGUAAUUUGCGGGACAGAUAAAUGAUAGCCCACGACAGAAUCCGGCUUACCGGCUUGUAGCUUUU
Molecule: RNase P RNA, 380 nt
Filed under: Chitinophagaceae bacterium
Lineage: Bacteria; Pseudomonadati; Bacteroidota; Chitinophagia; Chitinophagales; Chitinophagaceae
Description: RNase P RNA component class A
Rfam family: Bacterial RNase P class A
About the family: Ribonuclease P (RNase P) is a ubiquitous endoribonuclease, found in archaea, bacteria and eukarya as well as chloroplasts and mitochondria. Its best characterised activity is the generation of mature 5'-ends of tRNAs by cleaving the 5'-leader elements of precursor-tRNAs.
Source: RNAcentral